GGGGAGCUAACUUUUUCAAUCAUUCAGUGCUUCUCUGAUAAAUACUUAUCAUAACAGUAAGACAAACAUCAAUCUUAAAGAAUGCAUAAUAAUUAAUCUCAAAUAAUAACAGUUAAGUGUAAAACAAUUUUACACAACAGAAAUAACAGCAAAACAGGCUUCCACUAGCUGGGGAAGACCUAGAUAAAUUUCUGUCAUGGAUCAAGUGUUAAGAUAGGUUUGUUUAUCUCUAAAUCUCUCGUUAGUUUGGCCUAUAAUUUUUCU
RNAcentral lists this long non-coding RNA (264 nucleotides) under Medicago truncatula (barrel medic). RNAcentral describes it as "long non-coding RNA (MTRU_LNC001005)". The record is from RNAcentral. Lineage: Eukaryota; Viridiplantae; Streptophyta; Magnoliopsida; Fabales; Fabaceae.